This 445-nucleotide ribosomal RNA is filed under the name uncultured bacterium. RNAcentral's name for it is "partial 16S ribosomal RNA". It matches the Rfam family "Bacterial small subunit ribosomal RNA", at positions 354 to 796 of the family's 1533-position model. The record is from RNAcentral.
GUGAGGAAUAUUGGACAAUGGGCGCAAGCCUGAUCCAGCCAUGCCGCGUGCAGGAAGACGCAUCUAUGGUGUGUAAACUGCUUUUGUACGGGAAGAAACACUCCCUCGUGAGGGAGCUUGACGGUACCGUAAGAAUAAGGAUCGGCUAACUCCGUGCCAGCAGCCGCGGUAAUACGGAGGAUCCAAGCGUUAUCCGGAAUCAUUGGGUUUAAAGGGUCCGUAGGCGGUUGAAUAAGGCAGUGGUGAAAGCCCAUCGCUCAACGAUGGAACGGCAAUUGAUACUGUUAGACUUGAAUUACAAGGAAGUAACUAGAAUAUGUAGUGUAGCGGUGAAAUGCUUAGAUAUUACAUUGAAUACCAAUUGCGAAGGCAGGUUACUACUUGUGGAUUGACGCUGAUGGACGAAAGCGUGGGGAGCGAACAGGAUUAGAAACCCUGGUAGUCC